Molecule: ribosomal RNA, 463 nt
Filed under: uncultured bacterium
Lineage: Bacteria
Description: partial 16S ribosomal RNA
Rfam family: Bacterial small subunit ribosomal RNA
Source: RNAcentral
GACGAACGCUGGCGGCGUGCUUAACACAUGCAAGUCGAACGGAAAGGCCUUUUCGGAGGUACUCGAGUGGCGAACGGGUGAGUAACACGUGGGUGAUCUGCCCUGCACUCUGGGAUAAGCCUGGGAAACUGGGUCUAAUACCGGAUAGGACCGCACUUUAGUGUGUGUGGUGGAAAGUUUUUUCGGUGUAGGAUGAGCCCGCGGCCUAUCAGCUUGUUGGUGGGGUAAUGGCCUACCAAGGCGGCGACGGGUAGCCGGACCGAGAGGUUGGUCGGCCACAUUGGGACUGAGAUACGGCCCAGACUCCUACGGGAGGCAGCAGUGGGGAAUAUUGCACAAUGGGCGCAAGCCUGAUGCAGCGACGCCGCGUGGGGGAUGACGGCCUUCGGGUUGUAAACUCCUUUCGCCAGGGACGAAGCGUUUUGUGACGGUACCUGGAGAAGAAGCACCGGCUAACUACGUG